Molecule: unclassified non-coding RNA, 245 nt
Filed under: plant metagenome
Description: partial contains small subunit ribosomal RNA, internal transcribed spacer 1, and 5.8S ribosomal RNA
Rfam family: Eukaryotic small subunit ribosomal RNA (bases 1-54)
Source: RNAcentral
GGAAGUAAGAGUCGUAACAAGGUUUCCGUAGGUGAACCUGCGGAAGGAUCAUUAAAGAGAAUAUGCCCUUCGGGGUAGAUCUCCCACCCUUUGUUUAUAUUACCUUUGUUGCUUUGGCAGGCCCGUCUUCGGACCACCGGCUUCGGCUGGUCAGUGCUUGCCAGAGGACCCAAAACUCUUAUUAUUAAUGUCGUCUGAGUACUAUAUAAUAGUUAAAACUUUCAACAACGGAUCUCUUGGUUCUG